RNAcentral lists this ribosomal RNA (253 nucleotides) under uncultured bacterium. RNAcentral's name for it is "partial 16S ribosomal RNA". It matches the Rfam family "Bacterial small subunit ribosomal RNA", at positions 524 to 776 of the family's 1533-position model. The record is from RNAcentral.
UACGUAGGGUGCGAGCGUUGCCCGGAUUUAUUGGGCGUAAAGGGCGCGUAGGCGGCUCGAUAAGCGUGUGGUGAAAGCCUGGGGCUCAACCCCGGGUCGGCCAUGCGAACUGUCGAGCUGGAGCACUGUAGAGGCAGGCGGAAUUCCGGGUGUAGCGGUGGAAUGCGUAGAGAUCCGGAAGAACACCGGUGGCGAAGGCGGCCUGCUGGGCAGUAGCUGACGCUGAGGCGCGACAGCGUGGGGAGCAAACAGG